Molecule: ribosomal RNA, 471 nt
Filed under: uncultured bacterium
Lineage: Bacteria
Description: bacterial SSU rRNA
Rfam family: Bacterial small subunit ribosomal RNA
Source: RNAcentral
GGUGAACGCUGGCGGUGCGCCUAAUGCAUGCAAGUCGAGCGACGCACUCCGGAGGGGUAACCCACUGGAAUGACGGAGCGGCGAACGGGUGAGUAUCACGUGAGCAACCUGCCCCGCAGACCGGGAUAGCCCAGGGAAACCUGGAUUAAUACCGGAUACCCUCGGGGGACCGCAUGGUCCAUCGAGGAAAGGCCUUUGUGCUGUGGGAUGGGCUCGCGACUUAUCAGCUAGUUGGUGGGUAACGGCCUACCAAGGCAUUGACGAGUAGCUGGUCUGAGAGGACGAUCAGCCACACUGGAACUGAGACACGGUCCAGACUCCUACGGGAGGCAGCAGCAGGGAAUCUUGCGCAAUGGGCGAAAGCCUGACGCAGCGACACCGCGUGGGGGAUGAAGGCCUUCGGGUUGUAAAGCUCUUUCACCUGCGAAGAUGAUGACGGUAGCAGGAGAAGAAGCCCCGGCUAACUCCGUG